UACGUAGGGUGCGAGCGUUGUCCGGAAUUAUUGGGCGUAAAGAGCUCGUAGGCGGUCUGUCGCGUCGAUCGUGAAAACUUGGGGCUUAACCUUGAGCUUGCGGUCGAUACGGGCAUGACUGGAGUUCGGCAGGGGAGACUGGAAUUCCUGGUGUAGCGGUGAAAUGCGCAGAUAUCAGGAGGAACACCGGUGGCGAAGGCGGGUCUCUGGGCCGAUACUGACGCUGAGGAGCGAAAGCGUGGGGAGCGAACAGG
RNAcentral lists this ribosomal RNA (254 nucleotides) under uncultured bacterium. Its description in RNAcentral is "partial 16S ribosomal RNA". It matches the Rfam family "Bacterial small subunit ribosomal RNA", at positions 524 to 776 of the family's 1533-position model. The record is from RNAcentral.